AUUGAACGCUGGCGGCAGGCCUAACACAUGCAAGUCGAGCGGAUGAAGGGAGCUUGCUCCUGGAUUCAGCGGCGGACGGGUGAGUAAUGCCUAGGAAUCUGCCUGGUAGUGGGGGAUAACGUCCGGAAACGGGCGCUAAUACCGCAUACGUCCUGAGGGAGAGAGUGGGGGAUCUUCGGACCUCACGCUAUCAGAUGAGCCUAGGUCGGAUUAGCUAGUUGGUGGGGUAAAGGCCUACCAAGGCGACGAUCCGUAACUGGUCUGAGAGGAUGAUCACUCACACUGGAACUGAGACACGGUCCAGACUCCUACGGGAGGGAGCAGUGGGGAAUAUUGGACAGUGGGCGGAAGCAUGAUCCAGCCGUGCCGAGUGUGUGGAAGAGGUCUUCGGAUUGUAAAGCACUUUAAGGUGGGAGGAAGGGCAGUAAGUUAAUACCUUGCGGUUUUGACGUUACCAGCAGAAUAAGCACCGGCUAACUUCGUG
Molecule: ribosomal RNA, 484 nt
Filed under: uncultured bacterium
Lineage: Bacteria
Description: partial 16S ribosomal RNA
Rfam family: Bacterial small subunit ribosomal RNA
Source: RNAcentral